RNAcentral lists this ribosomal RNA (384 nucleotides) under uncultured soil bacterium. RNAcentral's name for it is "bacterial SSU rRNA". It matches the Rfam family "Bacterial small subunit ribosomal RNA", at positions 26 to 411 of the family's 1533-position model. The record is from RNAcentral.
AGAUUGAACGCUGGCGGCAUGCUUUACACAUGCAAGUCGAACGGUAACAGGCCGCAAGGUGCUGACGAGUGGCGAACGGGUGAGUAAUGCAUCGGAACGUGCCCAGUCGUGGGGGAUAACGCAGCGAAAGCUGUGCUAAUACCGCAUACGAUCAUGGAUGAAAGCGGGGGACCGAAAGGCCUCGCGCGAUUGGAGCGGCCGAUGUCAGAUUAGCUAGUUGGUGGGGUAAAGGCCCACCAAGGCGACGAUCUGUAGCUGGUCUGAGAGGACGACCAGCCACACUGGAACUGAGACACGGUCCAGACUCCUACGGGAGGCAGCAGGUGGGGAAUUUUGGAACAAGUGGGCGCGAAGCCUGAUCCAGCAAUGCCGCGUGCAGGAAGA